This 90-nucleotide unclassified non-coding RNA is filed under the name Pseudomonas poae. Lineage: Bacteria; Pseudomonadati; Pseudomonadota; Gammaproteobacteria; Pseudomonadales; Pseudomonadaceae. The record is from RNAcentral.
UGUGGGAGCUGGCUUGCCUGCGAUUACGGUGGAUCUGUCGACAUUGAUGUUGGAUGUCAGACCGCUAUCGCAGGCAAGCCAGCUCCCACA